AGCAGCCGCGGUAAUUCCAGCUCCAAUAGCGUAUAUUAAAGUUGCUGCAGUUAAAAAGCUCGUAGUUGAAUUUCGGGACCAUCAUGUCGGUCGUGCCUCGGUACGUACUGGCAUUGUUGGUUUCUCCCUUCUGACGAACCAUGAUGUCAUUUAUUUGGUGUCGUGGGAAAUCAGGACUGUUACUUUGAAAAAAUUAGAGUGUUUAAAGCAGGCUCACGCUUGAAUACAUUAGCAUGGAAUAAUGAAAUAGGACGUUUGAUUCUAUUUUGUUGGUUUCUAGGAUCGACGUAAUGAUUAAUAGGGAUAGUUGGGGGCAUUAGUAUUCAAUUGUCAGAGGUGAAAUUCUUGGAUUUAUUGAAGACUAACUACUGCGAAAGCAUUUGCCAAGGAUGUUUUCAUUAAUCAAGAACGAAAGUUAGGGGAUCGAAGACGAUCAGAUACCGUCGUAGUCUUAACCAUAAACUAUGCCGACUAGGGAUCGGAUGAUGUUAAUUUUUUAAUGACUCA
RNAcentral lists this ribosomal RNA (507 nucleotides) under uncultured Glomus. RNAcentral describes it as "SSU rRNA". It matches the Rfam family "Eukaryotic small subunit ribosomal RNA", at positions 569 to 1078 of the family's 1831-position model. Lineage: Eukaryota; Fungi; Glomeromycota; Glomeromycetes; Glomerales; Glomeraceae. The record is from RNAcentral.